CUUUACUAUCCAAACCUUCUAAAGGUCAUUAGCUCUGAUUCUUUGGAAAAAAGAUUGAGAGCUAUACACAACAACGCUAAAGAUGGAGCAGCCUGCCAUGUCUUAGGGCAUACGCAUUUCUGUUGGGAUUAUGCGGUUGACAAUAUCAGGUACUAA
RNAcentral lists this ribosomal RNA (156 nucleotides) under Triticum aestivum (bread wheat). RNAcentral describes it as "partial small subunit ribosomal RNA". Lineage: Eukaryota; Viridiplantae; Streptophyta; Magnoliopsida; Poales; Poaceae. The record is from RNAcentral.